AGAUUGAACGCUGGCGGCAGGCCUAACACAUGCAAGUCGAGCGGCAGCACGGGUACUUGUACCUGGUGGCGAGCGGCGGACGGGUGAGUAAUGCCUAGGAAUCUGCCUGGUAGUGGGGGAUAACGCUCGGAAACGGACGCUAAUACCGCAUACGUCCUACGGGAGAAAGCAGGGGACCUUCGGGCCUUGCGCUAUCAGAUGAGCCUAGGUCGGAUUAGCUAGUUGGUGAGGUAAUGGCUCACCAAGGCGACGAUCCGUAACUGGUCUGAGAGGAUGAUCAGUCACACUGGAACUGAGACACGGUCCAGACUCCUACGGGAGGCAGCAGUGGGAAUAUUGGACAAUGGGCGAAAGCCUGAUCCAGCCAUGCCGCGUGUGUGAAGAAGGUCUUCGGAUUGUAAAGCACUUUAAGUUGGAGAAGGCAGUUACCUAAUACGUAUCUGUUUUGACGUUACCGACAGAAUAAGCAACCGGCUAAACUCUGUG
This 486-nucleotide ribosomal RNA is filed under the name uncultured soil bacterium. RNAcentral describes it as "bacterial SSU rRNA". It matches the Rfam family "Bacterial small subunit ribosomal RNA", at positions 26 to 507 of the family's 1533-position model. The record is from RNAcentral.